Molecule: ribosomal RNA, 395 nt
Filed under: uncultured bacterium
Lineage: Bacteria
Description: partial 16S ribosomal RNA
Rfam family: Bacterial small subunit ribosomal RNA
Source: RNAcentral
CCUACGGGAGGCAGCAGUGAGGAAUAUUGGUCAAUGGACGAGAGUCUGAACCAGCCAAGUAGCGUGAAGGAUGACUGCCCUAUGGGUUGUAAACUUCUUUUAUAAAGGAAUAAAACGAGGCACGCGUGCCUUUUCGAAGGUACCUUACGAAUAAGGAUCGGCUAACUCCGUGCCAGCAGCCGCGGUAAUACGGAGGAUCCGAGCGUUAUCCGGAUUUAUUGGGUUUAAAGGGAGCGUAGGUGGGUUGUUAAGUCAGUUGUGAAAGUUUGCGGCUCAACCGUAGAAUUGCAUUUGAUACUGGCAGUCUUGAGUACAGUAGAGGUAGGCGGAAUUCGUGGUGUAGCGGUGAAAUGCUUAGAUAUAACGAAGAACCCCGAUUGCGAAGGCAGCUUACU